CUCACUUGUAGAAAGCUCUUCAAACUUCUUAACUUCAUCUGCAUUGUUUUGUGCAAAAGUGAGCAAACAAUUGCCCACAAGAAGAAUAAUAUACAAUAACGGUUUAUGAAUGAUAAUUAAUUGAGUUUUCAAUUAUAAAGUAUUCUUACCGGAACAAUAAAAUUUAAUUCAACAACUAUGAGUUCAAAGGAAUAAUGAACAUUAAAUUAACAAUAGAUAUCAACAUCAAAGAAUACACUGAGG
RNAcentral lists this long non-coding RNA (243 nucleotides) under Panax ginseng (ginseng). Its description in RNAcentral is "long non-coding RNA (PGIN_LNC004163)". Lineage: Eukaryota; Viridiplantae; Streptophyta; Magnoliopsida; Apiales; Araliaceae. The record is from RNAcentral.